RNAcentral lists this ribosomal RNA (221 nucleotides) under Shigella flexneri. RNAcentral's name for it is "partial 16S ribosomal RNA". It matches the Rfam family "Bacterial small subunit ribosomal RNA", at positions 1 to 218 of the family's 1533-position model. The record is from RNAcentral. Lineage: Bacteria; Pseudomonadati; Pseudomonadota; Gammaproteobacteria; Enterobacterales; Enterobacteriaceae.
AAAUUGAAGAGUUUGAUCAUGGCUCAGAUUGAACGCUGGCGGCAGGCCUAACACAUGCAAGUCGAACGGUAACAGGAAACAGCUUGCUGUUUCGCUGACGAGUGGCGGACGGGUGAGUAAUAUCUGGGAAACUGCCCGAUGGAGGGGGAUAACUACUGGAAACGGUAGCUAAUACCGCAUAACGUCGCAAGACCAAAGAGGGGGACCUUCGGGCCUCUUGC